GUGCUCGCUUCAGCAGCACAUAUACUAAAACUGGAACGAUACAGAGAAGAUUAGCAUGGCCCCUGCACAAGGAUGACACGCAAAUUCGUGAAGCGUUCCAUAUUUUU
Molecule: small nuclear RNA, 107 nt
Filed under: Phocoena sinus (vaquita)
Lineage: Eukaryota; Metazoa; Chordata; Mammalia; Artiodactyla; Phocoenidae
Also listed under: 1 other name
Source: RNAcentral